GGAAUAUUGGGCAAUGGAUGCAAGUCUGACCCAGCCAUGCCGCGUGCCGGAUGAAGGCCCUCAGGGUUGUAAACGGCUUUUAUUCGGGAAGAAGAGCGGGGAUGCGUCCCUGUGUGACGGUACCGAAUGAAUAAGCACCGGCUAACUCCGUGCCAGCAGCCGCGGUAAUACGGAGGGUGCGAGCGUUGUCCGGAUUUAUUGGGUUUAAAGGGUGCGUAGGUGGCUGAUUAAGUCAGUGGUGAAAUACAGCCGCUCAACGGUUGAGGUGCCAUUGAUACUGAUUAGCUUGAAAUAAUUGGAGGCUGCCGGAAUGGAUGGUGUAGCGGUGAAAUGCAUAGAUAUCAUCCAGAACACCGAUUGCGAAGGCAGGUGGCUACGAUUUAUUUGACACUGAGGCACGAAAGCAUGGGGAGCAAACAGGAUUAGAUACCCCUG
RNAcentral lists this ribosomal RNA (435 nucleotides) under uncultured Dyadobacter sp. RNAcentral describes it as "bacterial SSU rRNA". It matches the Rfam family "Bacterial small subunit ribosomal RNA", at positions 358 to 789 of the family's 1533-position model. The record is from RNAcentral. Lineage: Bacteria; Pseudomonadati; Bacteroidota; Cytophagia; Cytophagales; Spirosomataceae.